RNAcentral lists this unclassified non-coding RNA (441 nucleotides) under Blepharispermum pubescens. RNAcentral describes it as "partial external transcribed spacer". Lineage: Eukaryota; Viridiplantae; Streptophyta; Magnoliopsida; Asterales; Asteraceae. The record is from RNAcentral.
UUGGUUUGUUUCAGGUGGUUGGCUGUUUGCUUGUGCUACAACUUCCACCCGGCUUACCUUUUCAGUUUUGCGUUAAGGCUUGUAUCGUCUUAUCGCAUUGUGGGUUUCCUGUGUUGCAUGCCUAAUUGAAGGUAUUAUUUUGCCUUAUCGAAGUCCCUUUCUGUCUUAUGUUACAUUUGUGGCAUGGGAUGAACCUUGAAGCAGUCUCUUUGAUCCACAUUGUUGAUGCACAAGCGUUGAUGUUGUGGCUCAUUGAUAUUGCUUGGUCUCAUGGAUACAGAAUUUGAUUUGGGCAUGUGGUCUCAUGGGAUCAUUGUUUUGCCCUUGUUAAGAGUUCUGAAAUGACGGCCUGUCAUGCAUUGGCUCGUACCAGCAUGAUGGGUUAUGUCGAAGAGGAAUGCUACCUGGUUGAUCCUGCCAGUAGUCAUAUGCUUGUCUCAA